AGUCAUUGUCGUUAUCGUUCGUAUGUCUCAAAAGGAAAAACGCUACAAAACAGAAUCAAACUACAAAUGACGAUGGAGAUUACGAAAUUAGAGAUGUUAACCCUAAUGACGCUGGUGUCAACACAAAUAACAAUGUUAACCCGUAUAAUACUGACGACAAUGUUGGCAACACUUACGAACAUCUACAACACAACACUGUACAGUAUAUUAACACGUCGAGUGUUGAUGAAGACCACGUGUACCUCCACGUCAAUGAACCAACACAAGGAAUACCUGACGACGCACAGACGACAGAUUAUUAUAAUAGUGUCAAACAAGACUGAAUCGUCUAUUUAUUACUCCAGCGGUUAUUCAUAACGGAACCGACCUCAGUGGUUUCGUGGUUAAGCCAUCGGUCAUAAGGCUGGUAGGUACUGGGAUUGCAGCCCGGUGUACCCAGAUCGAGUUUAACGACGCGAUGGGUAGGUGUAAGACCACCACACCAACUUCUCUCUCACUAAACAUUAACAACUAACCCACUGUCCUGGACAGACAGUCCAGAUAGCCGAGGUGUGUGCCCAGGACAGCGUACUUGAAACUUAACUGGAUAUAAGCACGAAUAUAAGUAUAAAUUAAUGAAUGAAUGAAUUAUAACAGGGAAAAUAUUUCGCUUAUCUUGCACUAACUAUGAUGUCAUCACGAUUAUUAUAAGUGUCAGUCAAGACUGAAUUGUACAUUUCGAACACACGCCCACACAUACUGUAAACGAAAGAAUAAAUAUAUCAGUGUU
Molecule: long non-coding RNA, 769 nt
Organism: Gigantopelta aegis
Lineage: Eukaryota; Metazoa; Mollusca; Gastropoda; Neomphalida; Peltospiridae
Exons: 2
Source: RefSeq, a predicted model, not a curated record